Camelus dromedarius (Arabian camel) is the source of this 1350-nucleotide long non-coding RNA. RefSeq lists it as uncharacterized. The transcript is spliced from 3 exons. Lineage: Eukaryota; Metazoa; Chordata; Mammalia; Artiodactyla; Camelidae. The record is from RefSeq and is a predicted model, not a curated record.
GAUAAGCAAAAACUCCCAGGCAAUCGAAGAGAAGCCACCCCUCCUCGGGGCAGCUCACCCAGCAGCUCUGGAGCUUCCGUUUCCUGAUAAGCCUGAGGACAGAGGCUGCAAUGGAUAAGGAAAAAGCCUGUUGGCUGUAAGGAAGCCUCUUGUUUCUGGACAUUCCCUUCCUAUUACCCCACAGGCCUUCCAGCUCACAGGAAAGAUCCUGACCAAGCCCAGCUAUGAAUGGUUGCAGGAAAGAAGAAAUUAAUGCAUCCCCUCCAGAGUCCCAAAUGAAUCCCAGCUGGCUGCAUAAACUCCCCACCUCUCUAACGCACGCAAGCUUUUGCUUAUGAAGGUGCAUCUCUAUGUGUGCGCGAGUGUAGGGGUCACCGUCUUCCUGGGCUACAGCCUCCUGCUCGUUUCCUGUGGUGUUACGUUGCCCUCUCUCCUUCCAUGUCAGGGCGUAGAAAUCCAGCUCAUUCUUUACAAUGAGCCUUCUUUGUUCUUGCUCAUCCACGAGGAACUCCCUGAUUUCCUCAAUCAACCUCGCUGCCUCUGUUCACGCUGCUCCCCUGCCCAGAACACCUCACCCAUCACCCACCACGGCUCAUACCCUGGGUAGUUAAACCGCGGUACGGACUCAGCGCACGGCUCCUCCCAAAGGAGGAGUGGCCAGUCCAGGAUGGAGGUCUCCCCCUGUUCCUGAAGCACUGCCUUCCCCUCCCCACAUGACCAUGUCCCCAGGAUCUGGGGUUGGCGGGAGCAAAGAAACCCCGGGAGGAAGGAGACAAAUCCUGCGUGGGCUCUGGAGGACCCGUGUGCUGCUGAAACUGGGAUGUCUGUAAUGCUGACGGGUUUAAUUAACGCCACUCUACCCCCACUCCUGGGCAUCCACGCCUCACCCACCACAGAGGAAAGGCCCUGCCCUGAGUGCCUGCCCUACAGUGCUGCACCAGGCAUCACUGACCGGGCCUGGAGGGAGCUGGUGGGGCCGAGAAGGCUUCUCAGAGGAGGUCAUAAGGGGUCAAUAGGAUCUUUCCAGCAGAGAAGCAGGCAGGACCUUCCUGGAAAAGGAAGCACGAAGUUACGGGGGUACAGGCCGAGUAAACUCUGAAGAUGUAAUGUUUGGCAAUGUGACAGUAAUUAACAAGGCUGUGUGUGUACUCGAAAUCUGCCGCCAGGAGAGGUCUUACGUGUUCUCGCCACACACCCAGAAAAAGAGAAGGAAACGGUAACCCUGUGAGUUGACCAGUGCGUGAAUUCGCUUGACUGUCGUGAUCAUUUUAGCGUUUGCCUGUAUCAAAACAUGAAAUCGUGCUCUUCAAAUAUAUGCACAGUUUUUGUUUGUCGAUUAUAUCUCAAUAA